RNAcentral lists this ribosomal RNA (473 nucleotides) under uncultured bacterium. RNAcentral describes it as "bacterial SSU rRNA". It matches the Rfam family "Bacterial small subunit ribosomal RNA", at positions 335 to 801 of the family's 1533-position model. The record is from RNAcentral.
ACUCCUACGGGAGGCAGCAGUAGGGAAUCUUCCACAAUGGGCGCAAGCCUGAUGGAGCAACACCGCGUGAGUGAAGAAGGGUUUCGGCUCGUAAAGCUCUGUUGUUAAAGAAGAACACGUAUGAGAGUAACUGUUCAUACGUUGACGGUAUUUAACCAGAAAGUCACGGCUAACUACGUGCCAGCAGCCGCGGUAAUACGUAGGUGGCAAGCGUUAUCCGGAUUUAUUGGGCGUAAAGAGAGUGCAGGCGGUUUUCUAAGUCUGAUGUGAAAGCCUUCGGCUUAACCGGAGAAGUGCAUCGAAAACUGGAUAACUUGAGUGCAGAAGAGGGUAGUGGAACUCCAUGUGUAGCGGUGGAAUGCGUAGAUAUAUGGAAGAACACCAGUGGCGAAGGCGGCUACCUGGUCUGCAACUGACGCUGAGACUCGAAAGCAUGGGUAGCGAACAGGAUUAGAUACCCUGGUAGGAUAGCG